CAGUCGAGCGGGCCCUUCGGGGUCAGCGGCGGACGGGUGAGUAACGCGUGGGAACGUGCCUUCUGGUUCGGAAUAACCCUGGGAAACUAGGGCUAAUACCGGAUACGCCCUUUUGGGGAAAGGUUUACUGCCGGAAGAUCGGCCCGCGUCUGAUUAGCUCGUUGGUGGGGUAACGGCCUACCAAGGCGACGAUCAGUAGCUGGUCUGAGAGGAUGAUCAGCCACACUGGGACUGAGACACGGCCCAGACUCCUACGGGAGGCAGCAGUGGGGAAUAUUGGACAAUGGGCGCAAGCCUGAUCCAGCCAUGCCGCGUGAGUGAUGAAGGCCUUAGGGUUGUAAAGCUCUUUUAUCCGGGACGAUAAUGACGGUACCGGAGGAAUAAGCCCCGGCUAACUUCGUGCCAGCAGCCGCGGUAAUACGAAGGGGGCUAGCGUUGCUCGGAAUCACUGGGCGUAAAGGGCGCGUAGGCGGCGUUUUAAGUCGGGGGUGAAAGCCUGUGGCUCAACCACAGAAUGGCCUUCGAUACUGGGACGCUUGAGUAUGGUAGAGGUUGGUGGAACUGCGAGUGUAGAGGUGAAAUUCGUAGAUAUUCGCAAGAACACCGGUGGCGAAGGCGGCCAACUGGACCAUUACUGACGCUGAGGCGCGAAAGCGUGGGGAGCAAACA
This 669-nucleotide ribosomal RNA is filed under the name Methylobacterium aquaticum. Its description in RNAcentral is "bacterial SSU rRNA". It matches the Rfam family "Bacterial small subunit ribosomal RNA", at positions 59 to 774 of the family's 1533-position model. RNAcentral also lists the same sequence under 1 other name. The record is from RNAcentral. Lineage: Bacteria; Pseudomonadati; Pseudomonadota; Alphaproteobacteria; Hyphomicrobiales; Methylobacteriaceae.